CCAUCACCUGUGCCACGCCCGUCACCUGUGCCACGCCCUACACCUGCGGGGAUUGUGGGAAGGGAUUCGGGGGAAGCUCCGCCCUCAUCCGGCACCAGCGGCUGCACCUGGGCUAGGAAAAACCGGAACCGGAAUUGAAACCGGGACCGGGACUGGGAAAGUUCUGGAACCGGAACUGGAACUGGGAUCAGAACCUGAACUGAGACCAGAACCGGAACCAGAAUUGAAACUGGGACUGGAAACUGGAACCGGAACCAGGACUGGAACCAGGAAACCACCGGAACUGGGACCUUUCUAGAGUCAGAACUGGGACCAGGAACCUUCCAGAACCCUCUGGAACCGGGACCAUUCCAGAACCUGGAACCUUCCAGAACUGGGACCCUUCCGGAGCCAGAACCGGGACCUUUCCAGAACCGGGACCCUUCUGGGUUGGACCCUUCUGAACUGGAGCCCUUUGGAACCGGGAACCUUCCGGAACCGGGACAGGAGGGGAAAGGACUCGAGGGGGCGUCCCCGUGGCCAUGGAGCUGUGGGGGAACCCCCGACCCUGGGAAUCCAUUCCUGACCCCCCAAAAUCCAUUCCGGACCUUUGGGAAUCCAUUCCGGACCCCCAAAUCCAUUCCUGACCCUCGGGAAUCCAUUCUGGACCUUUGGGAAUCCACUCCUGACCCACAGGAAUCCAUUCCUGACCCCAGAAUCCAUUCCGGACCUUUGGGAAUCCAUUCCGGACCUUUGGGAAUCCAUUCCUGA
RNAcentral lists this long non-coding RNA (750 nucleotides) under Zonotrichia albicollis (white-throated sparrow). RNAcentral's name for it is "lncRNA (ENSZALG00000000505.1)". Lineage: Eukaryota; Metazoa; Chordata; Aves; Passeriformes; Passerellidae. The record is from RNAcentral.